This 1316-nucleotide ribosomal RNA is filed under the name Cilnia humeralis. RNAcentral describes it as "16S ribosomal RNA". Lineage: Eukaryota; Metazoa; Arthropoda; Insecta; Mantodea; Mantidae. The record is from RNAcentral.
AUUAAUUAAUUUGUUUAUAUUAUGUGAGGUUUUUAUAAAUAUUUAAAUUAAAUAAAUUUAUGUUAUUGUAAAAUGAAUUGAUCAAAUUAUUUUUACUAUAGUGAAUUAGUAUUGUGGAGGAAUAAUGAGGUAAACUUUAUAAGUAGGAAAAGGUAUUUUAAAUAAAUGUAUCUUGUGUAUCAGAAUAUAUUGAAGUGUAUUAUAAAUUUAUUUUUCUCGAAUUUAAAAGAUUUAAUUAGAUAUAUUUAUUUAUUGUGGAAUAAAUAUUAAAAAUUUCUAUAUUGGUAAUGAGAUGUUAAUCGUUUUUUAGGAUAUCUAGUAUUUUAAUAAAUGAAUUUAAUUCAUAAGAUGUAAUUUAUUUUCAAAAUUAGUUUUGAAAAUAUUUUAUGUUUUAAAUUUUAAAAGGGAUAAACUUUUUAAAAUAAUAAUUAUAAUAUUAGUUGUGAUUUAGGAUUUUAUGAAUUUAGAAUUUGUUUUUAAUUAAAGGAUGUUAAAAUUUAAUUCUUAGUUUAAGUAUAAUUUGGAUUUAUUUAAUUUUUAUAUUAAAAUAUUAAUUUUAAUUUUAAAUUUUUAAUAAAUAUGAUUUAAUUAGUAAAUUGAAAUAUAAAUUGUUUAUUUAAUUAUUAAGCUAGUAUAAAGAAUUAGGCAAAAUAUUUUCACUCACCUGUUUAUUAAAAACAUGGUUUCUUGUUGAUAUAAGAAAUUUGACCUGCCCACUGAAAGGUAAUUAAAGGGCCGCAGUAUUUUGACUGUGCAAAGGUAGCAUAAUAAUUAGUCUUUUAAUUGAAGGCUUGUAUGAAUGGUUGGAUGAGGUGAAAACUGUUUUAUACUAAAGUUGUAUUGAAUUUAAAUUUUAAGUAAAAAGACUUAAAUGAUAUUAAGGGACGAGAAGACCCUAUAGAGUUUAAUAAGUGUAUUUUUAAUUAAGUUAAAGAUGAAUUUUUAAUUAUUGUAAAAAUUUAUUUAAUUGGGGUGAUUGAAAGAUAGAUAAAACUCUUUUUUAAAAUAAAUAUUGUAGAUAAAUAGAAGAUCCAUAAAUAGUGAUUAAAAGAUUAAAUUACCUUAGGGAUAACAGCAUAAUACUUUUUAAGAGUUCAAAUCGAAAAAAGUGAUUGUGACCUCGAUGUUGGAUUAAGAUGAAUAUUGGGUGUAGAUGUUCAAUAAUUAGGUCUGUUCGACCUAUAAAAUCUUACAUGAUCUGAGUUUAAACCGGUGUGAGCCAGGUUGGUUUCUAUCUUUAAUUUUAUAAAAUAUUUUAGUACGAGAGGACCAAAUAUUUAAAAUAAUUUUUAAUUAAAAUGAAUAUUAUAAAUUAC